AUGCGAGCGCGAAAGGCUGCUGCGAAUCGCUAUAUGAAAAUUCAUUUUUUAGGGUUCCCAGCAGCCUUUCGCGCUCGUAU
Molecule: non-coding RNA, 80 nt
Organism: Paramuricea clavata
Lineage: Eukaryota; Metazoa; Cnidaria; Anthozoa; Malacalcyonacea; Plexauridae
Source: the annotation of a GenBank genome assembly